This 407-nucleotide ribosomal RNA is filed under the name Schizocosa uetzi. RNAcentral describes it as "partial 16S ribosomal RNA". The record is from RNAcentral. Lineage: Eukaryota; Metazoa; Arthropoda; Arachnida; Araneae; Lycosidae.
UUAAAUAGCCGCUUUUGUGCUAAGGUAGCAUAAUAAUUUGUCUUUUAAUUAAAGACUAGAACAAAAGACUUAACAUCUUAAAUAAUCUUUAUAAUAAAAUUAUUUAAAUUAUCUUAAUUGUAAAAAGACAAUUAUUCAAUAGAAAGACGAUAAGACCCUAUCGAACUUUACUUUAGUUUAACUGGGGUAGUUAAUUAAUUAUUAUUUUAAUAAAANNUUAAAUUUUAAAUUUGACCUAAUAUAAUUAACCAAAUAAUUAAGUUACCGUAGGGAUAACAGCACAAUAAAAUUUAUUAGAUCUUAUUUAAAANUAAAGAUUGUGACCUCGAUGUUGAUUUAAUAUCCUAUUUCACGCAAUAGUAAAACUAAGGAAGUCUGUUCGACUUUUAAAAAAUUACGUGAUCUGA